CUGACUGCGGGUUCAAGAUUUUGGAUUGCAUUUUGAGCUAUAGUAAAGAUGGCGCCUCCUAGCAAACGGUCCAGGGCGGCCAAGAAGAGAGAGGCUGACUUGAGGUCUACUGAGGUGCCGAGCAAGAGGUCCCCGGUGGCAGACACACAGGUUGACUUGGUCUCCUGUGACAAGGUUGGGCGUCCUUGUAUAAAAAAAGCCCAAACACUUUCUGAAAACAUGCCAAAUAACAUGCCACAUGACGUGCCACAUGACGUGCCACAUAACAUGCCAAAUAACGUGCCACAUGACGUGCCACAUGACGUGCCACAAAACAUGCCAAAUAACAUGCCAAAUGAAAUGCCAAACAAAAUGUCAAACAAAGACUGCCAUCAAAGAUUGCCAUCAAAGAUUGCCAACAAAACAUCUGCCAAUGAUAUGCCAAACUCUCCUCUGACUCGAUCAGACUCUCUCCCAAACUCUCCUCUGACUCUCUCAGACUCUGUCCCAAACUCUCCACUCACUCUCUCUGACUCUCUACCCCUCUCUAAGUCUCAUGCCUCUUAUGGAAACUCAGUGCCAUGCUGUGUGAAUAAACAAACUGUAACUAAUGAUUGUUCCUGUUUGACUCAAUCUGAUGACUUUCCAGAGAGAUCUGUGCUGAUGGGGUCCUUUCAUCAAGGCCAUUCACGGUUUGGAAAUGUGCGCAACAAGCAGUGUGGUGCCAUCAGUUUGACUGCUGUUUUGAAGUCCAAGAUGAAGGACGUGUGGAGCUGGGAAACUGGAGAUAUUGAUGAUGUUUUGAUUAAGGGAACUGUUCUGUACAGGUCAAUGAGUGCUCAGGGCAAAAUCAGAGACCAUGGAAGAGGCUACAUUGCUGUGUCUGAAUUGCCAAGGCAAUAUGAAGUGUGGAAUUGUGGUUUCUCAAUAAACUUUGCUGAAUCCUA
Molecule: long non-coding RNA, 926 nt
Organism: Sardina pilchardus (European sardine)
Lineage: Eukaryota; Metazoa; Chordata; Actinopteri; Clupeiformes; Clupeidae
Exons: 4
Source: RefSeq, a predicted model, not a curated record